Molecule: ribosomal RNA, 379 nt
Filed under: uncultured organism
Description: partial 16S ribosomal RNA
Rfam family: Bacterial small subunit ribosomal RNA
Source: RNAcentral
GUAGGGGGCUAGCGUUGUCCGGAUUUACUGGGCGUAAAGGGAGCGCAGGUGGCUAAGUUCGUCGAUGGUGCAAGCUCCAGGCUUAACCUGGAGAGGUCUGUCGAUACUGCUUGGCUUGAGGACGGUAGAGGAGCACGGAAUUCCUGGUGUAGUGGUGAAAUGCGUAGAUAUCAGGAGGAACACCGGUGGCGAAAGCGGUGCUCUGGGCCGUUCCUGACACUCAGGCUCGAAAGCGUGGGGAGCGAACCGGGAUUAGAUACCCGGGUAGUCCACGCCCUAAACGAUGAAUGCUGGAUAUAGGGGGGUAUCGACCCCCCCCCCCCGUGUGUCGAAGCUUACGCGUUAAGCAUUCCGCCUGGGAACUACGGCCGCAAGGCUA